CCGGUACUUCUGAAAAUGUUAUCUCAAUUCCCUUAACUACAUGCCAAAACAUGCCUUCGUUGCACAACAUCUCAGUCGCACAGAAGCAAGCACCUCAAGGCGUUCACAGCAUACUGCGUGCCUGGCUUGGAGUUGACCUUUUCCUGGCAACCGCACAGCUUCUGCAUGUGAAAAUAGGCACCUAUCGUUUGGGAUAAGCCACCAGGGGAGGUGGCCUCUUGUUAAUCCAGCAGCAUACGAGUUGCACAUUCGCGCUCUUGCUCGCACGCGUUGUCGCGCAACACGCGAUUUAUUACAAUUAUGGUAUGUUAUGUUGCAAGCUCGCGAGAGCUCGUAAGGCUCAGACGAGCCAGGAGGCUCAUGGACCGCAAUCACAGUGGCGGAACGCCCCGUAAGGAGUAUUUCCGUAAUAGGCAAUGUCCUGAGGUACAGCUCAGGUUUACAAUGACUUGAAGGUCAAAUCUGCAAUCUCCCAAUGAUAAGCUUUCCUUCUCAGCUAGGGGUCUCAUCCGUCAUGAAAAUGCUUGGCUCAUUUAGUCCGUACAAGCUUGUGAACACAGAACUCCAGAAUGCCAUUACUAAAGCGUCCUAUCCAGCAAAAUGAAGAGCAGCGAAAACAUCUUCUAAAAGUAUUGUUUGCGUCGAUUUCGACAAUCUCUCCGUAAGAAUGUUUUCGUGCACCGUUCGUUCGAAAACAUUGACGCGAACGACCGAGCGACGACGUGCAAAAUGCGCGGUGGUCCCUGAAUCUAUACUUGCAAUGGCAUGUGCAGUCAAGUUGGCGUUUCUGCCAUGGAACGGGUGCGAGGUUCCUGGAUCCUUCUAUUCAACAGGCGUCAAAGGUAUACCCGGAAAGGACUGCCAAAAAGUAUAUCAACCAGCUAUAGCAGCGGAGGCACAAGCUGUUCAACGGCUGCGGCAGCAGCAGGUGAGGGUACGGCACCUGCUGCAGAGCGUGCGUACAUCCAACACGGUAUGUGGCAAUCCAGGUUGACGGAUGAGGUGUGCGCUGCCGUUUGGUCCUUAUAGGUUAUUAUUAUGACGUUUGGAUAUGCCCUGGCCCUACCGUCCGCAGGCGAAGGCAGACCUUACCGCAGGGGCGAGUAGUCCCAUUGUUGAAGACGGUCACGAGACCGUUCCUGCCGCUGUAAAGGCGGCUCGUGACGCCUUGAACGAGGAGCUUCGGCAGCGGAACAAGGCCUUAGUCGAUAGCGCGUGGCAGUCGCUGGAGUAAUGCUCUCGGUGGAGUCAUCUAGCCAGAAGCCAGGGACUCUCGAUCUCUUGGGACAAUGGACUAGGUUUAAGACGCACGUCGGGGGCUAUCUGGCCGUUGCACUUCCCGUGCGUUAGCUGUAAUGGGACGAACCAUUCCGA
Molecule: long non-coding RNA, 1374 nt
Filed under: Volvox carteri
Lineage: Eukaryota; Viridiplantae; Chlorophyta; Chlorophyceae; Chlamydomonadales; Volvocaceae
Description: long non-coding RNA (VCAR_LNC002023)
Source: RNAcentral